CUUUAAUAAAAAUAUAUUAUCUUCUUAUACAUCGUUUUGCUAUUGAUAUCAUAUUAAAUAGCAAUCAAAUUGAUUACUAAUUUGGAAAUGUAUAAAUGAAGAUUCAUAUUGUCUUGAGUGCUGUUUUUAAUAUAAAAAGAAUGUUGAGUUUUCAGAGUCUUUAUUGUCAUUUUUUUGUGAUAGGACCCUACCAGACUAUAUUUGAAUACGGCAUACCCGUGAAUUCUGAACUGUUAUUCCUUAACCCAGUUUGGAGGAUAAGAGCUUACCAACUAGUUAUGUGAGUACACAGAGUACAUUAGUACUGUACACUGUCUCUAACAUGAUUUGUUAUACUGAGAUGAUUUUGAUUCAAAUAACGGUUAAAACUGCACCCUUUUUGGUAUUUUCUUGACUCUUUUUGUCUUUGAAAAUCUGCAGAAAUAUGCUGAGGCGAUGUAUUGCAAAAUAGCCAACAUACAACAAUUAAAGGAUAAUUGCAGACUACAUCCUGAUGAAGAUAUGGACGACCCUCUGUCUGGUCAACAAUAGUUUAAAUAUGGACGGGACAGUUAUGUGGCAGCUCUUCCCUGGCUCAUUCACCUCUUGCCUUCAUUUGUGAAAGGAAGAAAGACUGGAGAGGGUCAAUGUGCAACUGAAGCUACUGAUUGUGCUGUGUGAUGAGCAUCAAUCCAUGCUUUGAGGUGGAUGAAUCAGCACAGCCCUGCCUGCUCUGCGUUGGGAACAGAAGUUGCAUCCAGAGUUUUUGCAUCAUUCUGGACCAAAAAGCCAUUCCCUGCAUGAUGAAGACCACUGAUGCAGCCUUCCACUACAUCAUGAGUAAAACAACUACAGAACUUAAUACCAGGUUGAAAUGCAUUUAAGAAAAAUGAAACGUCUUUUGAAUUGAAAUGUCUGUUUUGUUAUGGAAAAAUCUUUAGUAUUGUGAAGGAUAAGCAUUUCUGCCUGCCAGUAAGGUAAUUGCAGUGUAUUUUAAUAUUCAAGUUUUGAGUAGGGUGGCAAAUUUUUUUAAACUCUCAUUUGAUUUAUUAAAGACUUUAUAAUAAGUGGUUUUCAUGUCACUGCGCUGUGGUAUAAGAUAACUUUCAUUAUUCCAUAUUGUAUUCUGUUUCUAAUUGUAGCUGAGGUAUUUAAAUAAGCAGUGUUAAAUGCAAAGUGUUGUGUGUAUCAAUGUAAAUAUUAAAUGUGAUGUACUUUAAUAAAAAGAGGUUUUGCAAUAUUUCUUGUCAUUUGUCUUUUAUAGAAACAACCCAUUAGCAACAAAAGUGGCUAUUAAUCAGUAUUUUAACACUUAACAUUGUUGAAUUCACAUUACACUGGUGUUGACCUUAAAUUAGG
Molecule: non-coding RNA, 1338 nt
Organism: Misgurnus anguillicaudatus (oriental weatherfish)
Lineage: Eukaryota; Metazoa; Chordata; Actinopteri; Cypriniformes; Cobitidae
Source: RefSeq, a predicted model, not a curated record